UACGUAGGUGGCAAGCGUUGUCCGGAUUUAUUGGGCGUAAAGCGAGCGCAGGCGGAAAGAUAAGUCUGAUGUGAAAGCCCCCGGCUUAACCGAGGAAUUGCAUCGGAAACUGUGUUUCUUGAGUGCAGAAGAGGAGAGUGGAACUCCAUGUGUAGCGGUGGAAUGCGUAGAUAUCUGGAGGAACACCGGUGGCGAAGGCGGCCACCUGGACGACAACUGACGCUGAGGUGCGAAAGCGUGGGUAGCAAACAGG
This 253-nucleotide ribosomal RNA is filed under the name uncultured Lactobacillus sp. Its description in RNAcentral is "partial 16S ribosomal RNA". It matches the Rfam family "Bacterial small subunit ribosomal RNA", at positions 524 to 776 of the family's 1533-position model. Lineage: Bacteria; Bacillati; Bacillota; Bacilli; Lactobacillales; Lactobacillaceae. The record is from RNAcentral.